This 506-nucleotide ribosomal RNA is filed under the name uncultured bacterium. RNAcentral's name for it is "partial 16S ribosomal RNA". It matches the Rfam family "Bacterial small subunit ribosomal RNA", at positions 30 to 523 of the family's 1533-position model. The record is from RNAcentral.
AUUGAACGCUGGCGGCAUGCCUAACACAUGCAAGUCGAACGGCAGCAUGGUCUAGUUUACUAGAUUGAUGGCGAGUGGCGGACGGGUGAGUAACGCGUAGGGAUAUGCCUUAAAGAGGGGGAUAACUUGGGGAAACUCAAGCUAAUACCGCGUAAUCUCUGAGGAGAAAAGCUGGGGACCUUCGGGCCUGGCGCUUUAAGAAUAGCCUGCGUACGAUUAGCUAGUUGGUGGGGUAAGGGCUCACCAAGGCGACGAUCGUUAGCUGGUCUGAGAGGAUGGCCAGCCACACUGGGACUGAGACACGGCCCAGGCUCCUACGGGAGGCAGCAGUGGGGAAUAUUGGACAAUGGGGGCAACCCUGAUCCAGCAAUGCCGCGUGUGUGAAGAAGGCCUGAGGGUUGUAAAGCACUUUCAGUGGGGAGGAGGAUUGAUUGGUUAAGAGCUGAUUAAUUGGACGUUACCCACAGAAGAAGCACCGGCUAACUCCGUGCCAGCAGCCGCAGUAA